This 162-nucleotide ribosomal RNA is filed under the name Taiwania flousiana. Its description in RNAcentral is "5.8S ribosomal RNA". It matches the Rfam family "5.8S ribosomal RNA". Rfam says of the family: 5.8S ribosomal RNA (5.8S rRNA) is a component of the large subunit of the eukaryotic ribosome. It is transcribed by RNA polymerase I as part of the 45S precursor that also contains 18S and 28S rRNA. Lineage: Eukaryota; Viridiplantae; Streptophyta; Pinopsida; Cupressales; Cupressaceae. The record is from RNAcentral.
AACAUGACUCUCGACAACGGAUAUCUCGGCUCUCGCCACGAUGAAGAAUGUAGUGGAAUGCGAUACUUAGUGUGAAUUGCAGAAUCCCAUGAAUCAUCGAGUCUUUGAACGCAAGUUGCGCCCGAGGCUCCGGCUGAGGGCACGUCUGCUUGGGCGUCGCAC